CGAGGUGUUUACACGUUAAAAUGCAAGUUUAAAGUAGGGCCUAAAAGGGCCCCGGGGCUUCUCCC
Molecule: transfer RNA, 65 nt
Filed under: Sceloporus grammicus (Graphic spiny lizard)
Lineage: Eukaryota; Metazoa; Chordata; Lepidosauria; Squamata; Phrynosomatidae
Description: tRNA-Cys
Source: RNAcentral